CUUCUACACUGAGGGAUGACAGCGUCCCGGUGAGCAGCCACGAAAAAUCCACUGGACGUUCCAUCAAUAUUUAUCUUAUUGACUUGUGUCUUUUCUUAGUAACUAUCAGUGGAUUCCGGAAUGCAUUCCCCUCUUCAGAACCCUAUCUCAGGACCCCUUUGAAAGCAGGGAACUUGCCAUCCUACUGUCCUGAUUUCUUUCCUCCAGCCCCCA
RNAcentral lists this long non-coding RNA (213 nucleotides) under Homo sapiens (human). Its description in RNAcentral is "HSALNT0264882". The record is from RNAcentral. Lineage: Eukaryota; Metazoa; Chordata; Mammalia; Primates; Hominidae.